Molecule: ribosomal RNA, 497 nt
Filed under: uncultured bacterium
Lineage: Bacteria
Description: partial 16S ribosomal RNA
Rfam family: Bacterial small subunit ribosomal RNA
Source: RNAcentral
GAUGAACGCUGGCGGCGUGCCUAAUACAUGCAAGUCGAGCGAACAGACGAGGAGCUUGCUCCUCUGACGUUAGCGGCGGACGGGUGAGUAACACGUGGAUAACCUACCUAUAAGACUGGGAUCACUUCGGGAAACCGGGGCUAAUACCGGAUAAUAUAUUGAACCGCAUGGUUCAAUAGUGAAAGACGGUUUUGCUGUCACUUAUAGAUGGAUCCGCGCCGCAUUAGCUAGUUGGUAAGGUAACGGCUUACCAAGGCAACGAUGCGUAGCCGACCUGAGAGGGUGAUCGGCCACACUGGAACUGAGACACGGUCCAGACGCCUACGGGAGGCAGCAGUAGGGAAUCUUCCGCAAUGGGCGAAAGCCUGACGGAGCAACGCCGCGUGAGUGAUGAAGGUCUUCGGAUCGUAAAACUCUGUUAUUAGGGAAGAACAAAUGUGUAAGUAACUAUGCACGUCUUGACGGUACCUAAUCAGAAAGCCACGGCUAACUACGUG